AUGGAAUUUGGAGUCACAAGGACAAGGGAGCAGAAUCAGCUCUGCCGUCUAUGAACUGAUUUUGAAGAAAGAAAUUCACCUCUCUGAGUCUCAGUUGCUUGAUCUGUUAAAUAGAAAUGGAUCCUAUUAACACAUAGUAGGAAAAUAAACAAGUUACAAUGGUGAUUAAGGGUCUCAAACCAGGAAGACAGGAGACAAAUCAGAUCAUAUUACAGUCCAACAAAUGUGGUGAGAAACACAGAGCUCAGCGUCAAGUGGCACGGAGAGAACAUCUACACCCACACGCCUCUGAUUCACACCUGAAGUUUUUCACUGUGCUUGAUUGGAAAUCCAAGUCUCCUGGCUUCCAAGGCUGCGUAGAGGGAUGGCUAUGACCAUGAACUUUGGUGUCACAGGGAUGGGAGCUUGCGUUUCUUCUUUCCUGUCUACUGGCUGUGUGAUCUUGAAUUAAUUAUUUAACCUGACUGUCUUCAUCUGUAAGAUGAUGAUAAUGGCUCCAAUAUCACAGGCUAUUGCAAGGAUUAAAUUCAAUCAUGAGUGUCAAGUCCUUUCUACAUAAUGUCAUCUAUAAAUGGUGGCUAUUAUCCUUUCUACGCCUUGGUUAUGCUAAGUUCAAAUGUGAUAUUAUGAGCGAAUAAACUUUACUCUGCAUUUCCCACCACUGACAUUCUACAAGUCAUUGAAAAAUAUGUAUAUAUAUAUAUCCCCUAUAAAUACAUAUUAUACCAGCUUUAUCAUUAUUAUUUAACCCAAAGUAUGAGUCAACUUUGAGAGAGAUGGUGAAUAAUUGAAUGGAAUUAGUGGAAUCCUGAUAUUGAUUACUUGCUGUUAAAAUUUAACAUUUUUCACAAAUGUGAUUCUUUAGAUAAGCUUGGUAAUCUAUCUUUAAAAUUUGACAUCAUUCCCUUGAGACAAUUUCC
This 920-nucleotide long non-coding RNA is filed under the name Equus caballus (horse). Its description in RNAcentral is "lncRNA (ENSECAG00000033537.3)". Lineage: Eukaryota; Metazoa; Chordata; Mammalia; Perissodactyla; Equidae. The record is from RNAcentral.